RNAcentral lists this ribosomal RNA (424 nucleotides) under uncultured bacterium. RNAcentral describes it as "partial 16S ribosomal RNA". It matches the Rfam family "Bacterial small subunit ribosomal RNA", at positions 360 to 776 of the family's 1533-position model. The record is from RNAcentral.
AAUAUUGGACAAUGGGCGAAAGCCUGAUCCAGCCAUGCCGCGUGUGUGAAGAAGGUCNNNGGAUUNUAAAGCACUUUAAGUUGNGAANAAGGGGUUGAAGCUAAUACCUUCAAUCGUUGACGUUACCAACAGAAUAAGCACCGGCUAACUCUGUGCCAGCAGCCGCGGUAAUACAGAGGGUGCAAGCGUUAAUCGGAAUUACUGGGCGUAAAGCGCGCGUAGGUGGUUCAGUAAGAUGGAAGUGAAAUCCCCGGGCUUAACCUGGGAACUGCUUUCAUAACUGCUGAGCUAGAGUACGGUAGAGGGUGGUGGAAUUUCCUGUGUAGCGGUGAAAUGCGUAGAUAUAGGAAGGAACACCAGUGGCGAAGGCGACUACCUGGACUGAUACUGACACUGAGGUGCGAAAGCGUGGGGAGCAAACAGG